This 461-nucleotide ribosomal RNA is filed under the name uncultured bacterium. Its description in RNAcentral is "partial 16S ribosomal RNA". It matches the Rfam family "Bacterial small subunit ribosomal RNA", at positions 28 to 506 of the family's 1533-position model. The record is from RNAcentral.
GAUGAACGCUGACAGCAUGCUUAACACAUGCCAGUCUUUGGCGAAGCUGUGCUUGCACAGCCUAGCCAAGGCGGACGGGUGAGUAACGCGUAAGGAACUUGCCCUGCAGUCAGGGAUAACAGACGGAAACGACUGAUAAGACCUGGUAAAGUCAGGCGGACUCAUGUCCAGCCUGAUGAAAAGAGAUGCUGCAGGAGAGCCUUGCGUCCUAUUAGCUUGUUGGUGGGGUAACGGCCCACCAAGGCGAUGAUAGGUAGCCGGCCUGAGAGGGUGGACGGCCACAAGGGGACUGAGAUACGGCCCUUACUCCUACGGGAGGCAGCAGUGGGGAAUAUUGGACAAUGGGGGCAACCCUGAUCCAGCAAUUCUGUGUGCACGAUGAAGGUUUUCGGAUUGUAAAGUGCUUUCAGCAGGGAAGAAAAAAUGACGGUACCUGCAGAAGAAGCGACGGCUAAAUACGU